CUACGCUAUAGAAGAGGUUCAAGGUUUUUCUGUCCUGCAGUCAGCCUGGUGACUGUCUGGCUCCAGUCUCUUCUUAAGUGGAACAUGCAAAGCACCUGCAGAGUCCUGGGCUGCCUUUGCUGCAGGGCAGGGUCCAGGAGGGCUUAGAGAGGAAGAGGCAGCUGGAGAAGUGUCAUCACUGGGGAGCCAGAAGGUUGCAGGGCCAGAGUGCAGGGAGGAGGGUGAGGAGAACUUUGGACAAGGGGAGCCCUGGCCAAGCUGAGCUGAGAUCCUGGGGUGUCCCAUGUGGGAGCAGCAGGCCAGCAGAGCCAGGGCAGGGGGAGGACAAGCUGACAGCCCCGCUGGUCACUCCAAAGUCCCAGCAGCAGCCUGUGAGACACUCAGAGAGAAAAGCCAGGGCUGGCCCCUCAGAACCACAUCACCUUUAGUUCAACACAGCAUUUCCUGCCCAACAAAUGGUCGGUUACUGCAGCACACAGAGUGAGGGACACCCAGGAGGGCAGCAAGAGCUUCAAGCUGUGCUCCUGGUGCCCCACCUCUCCCCCUGAGUGCUGUCACAGGCAGAGGGAGGGACCAGCAGGGCCUGGGCCUGAGAGCAGUGCCAGAGGCCCAGGCAGGGCAGGUGUGGGCAGAGCUGUUGUGCAGGCGCAGAGAAGCUGCAGAGAGGCCACGGAGAGCGGGCCUGGCCAUGUGGAGUGCCCUGUGCGUGGGCUUCUUGCCCAUUGUAGCAGUCACUGGCCAGGUGACCUUGGAGCAGAACCCCAAGGGAGUGACCGUGCGAGAGGGAGAUGAAUUCACCUUUGAGUGCAGCAUGAAGGGAGGUGAUAUGGACGACUACUACAUGUACUGGUACCGUCAGGACCGAUGGGGCUCUUUGGAAUGGAUUUACGUAGAUGGUGAAGAUUCCUAUGGAGAAGGUUUCCAAGAUCACUUUCAGGGAAGUUCGGACAGUUCCCGGACGACACUGCAGCUUCUGGCAGCAACCCCAGAUGACGCAGCAACGUAUUACUGUGGAGCAAGAAUCACCCUGGAGCAGCUCUGCAGCAGAGUGAACCAAAAACCAGCAUAUGGGGAAGACAGAUCUGUCAGCAUUUCUUUCUGGCAGCUGCUCCGCAGGGCUCUUGUCAGGCAAUGGCAGGUGCAGGAAACCUCCCUCUGGCUGGGUGGCACUAAAAGGCACUGGAGGGAGGGCUGCUGGAAGGGCUGGUGCCAUUGAUGGUGCAGG
This is a non-coding RNA of Melospiza melodia melodia, 1225 nucleotides long. The record is from the annotation of a RefSeq genome assembly. Lineage: Eukaryota; Metazoa; Chordata; Aves; Passeriformes; Passerellidae.